This 497-nucleotide ribosomal RNA is filed under the name uncultured bacterium. Its description in RNAcentral is "partial 16S ribosomal RNA". It matches the Rfam family "Bacterial small subunit ribosomal RNA", at positions 28 to 507 of the family's 1533-position model. The record is from RNAcentral.
GACGAACGCUGGCGGCGUGCCUAAUACAUGCAAGUUGAGCGAUGAAGAUUGGUGCUUGCACCAAUUUGAAGAGCAGCGAACGGGUGAGUAACGCGUGGGGAAUCUGCCUUUGAGCGGGGGACAACAUUUGGAAACGAAUGCUAAUACCGCAUAACAACUUUAAACAUAAGUUUUAAGUUUGAAAGAUGCAAUUGCAUCACUCAAAGAUGAUCCCGCGUUGUAUUAGCUAGUUGGUGAGGUAAAGGCUCACCAAGGCGAUGAUACAUAGCCGACCUGAGAGGGUGAUAGGCCACAGUGGGACUGAGACACGGCCCAAACUCCUACGGGAGGCAGCAGUAGGGAAUCUUCGGCAAUGGACGAAAGUCUGACCGAGCAACGCCGCGUGAGUGAAGAAGGGUUUCGGAUCGUAAAACUCUGUUGGUAGAGAAGAACGUUGGUGAGAGUGGAAAGCUCAUCAAGUGACGGUAACUACCCAGAAAGGGACGGCUAACUACGUG